Non-coding RNA from Chlorocebus sabaeus (green monkey), 1862 nucleotides. Lineage: Eukaryota; Metazoa; Chordata; Mammalia; Primates; Cercopithecidae. The record is from RefSeq and is a predicted model, not a curated record.
AGAAAUCACCAGUCUUCUAUGUUGCUGGCGCUGGGAGUUGGAGACUGGAGCUAUUCGGCCAUCUUGUUCCACCCCCAGUUUAGUGAUUAUUGAGUUUAAAAAGCUAGGGGACAGAUACACUCUCAGGUCAUUCAUAAAUUUUCAGAUUGUGCACAAGCAUUUACAAUGCUCAUGGGGAAGGAGUAGGAAAUUGUCAGGUUAACAGAGAAGAGCAAACAGUCUUGGGACAGCCCAACAGUUUUCUUUACAUAUUGAGUUCAAUGAAACAUUCAUGUGGGAUACUUUCAGUAGGUAAUGGGAUUAUAGGCAUUUCUAGCUGGAGAUAGAACUCUGGUUGAAGAUGCAGGUUUAGAAUAAUUUUAUUAUAAUUAUUAGGCAAAGCCAUAGAUCUCAAUGAGCUUUUCCAUGAUGUAGUAGAUGUAGAAUAAAAAGAAAGUCAUUGACAAAACUCUGGGAAUAUCAAAAUUUCACAAGAGUCAAAGGACUUGGUAAAGGAGACUGAGCAGUGGCUAAAGAAACGUAGAAGAGGAGUCAGAGAAAGUGAUGUUGCAAAUAUCUUUUAAGUGUGAGAAUUUCAAGCAGUAAAAUUACUGAAAGGUCUACUGGCUUUAACUUACAAGUUCUUUACUGGUAAUCUGUUCAAAAGAAUUAUUUUAGAGUUAUUAGGUAUACUGUUGAUGUGGUUGAUAUUUCUGGUAUCCAAGAAGAAAUCUCCCGAGAUCCUACCUAACUUUUUGUAAGUAAAGCAGCAUACAUACACAGGGGUGGGAAAAUGUCUAGACUGAUUCAACUAGCCUAUCAAAAAUCUUGGAUGCAGUUCUUUCUUGUGAAAAAGCAAGGGAACUUAAAAAAUAUCCCUGUGGGCCGGGCGCCUUGGCUCACGCCUGUAAUCCCAUCACUUUGGGAGGCUGAGGCGGGAGGAUCAUGAGGUCAGGAGAUCAAGACCAUCUUGGCUAACACAGUGAAACCCCGUCUCUACUAAAAAUGUAAAAACAAAAUUAGUCAGGCGUGGUGGCGGGUGCCUGUAGUCCCAGCUACUCGGGAGGCUGAGGCAGGAGAAUGGCGUGAACCCAGAAGGCGGAGCUUGCAGUUAGAGGAAAUCACACCACUGCACUCCAGCCUGGGCCACAGAGCGAGACUCUGUCAAAAAAAAAAAAAAAAAAAAAAAAGUCCCUGUGAACAACUUACAGCAAAAAUGAAACAAAUGAAAAAGAAGCUUUGUGUACUACAAAAGGAACGAUCAGAAGCAAAAGAAAUAAAAUCACAGAGAAUCAAAAAAUUAAAUGGAAACAAGAGCUCUGUAGGGUGAGAUUGACUUUAAACCAAGAAGAAGAGAAGAAAUGCCAAUAUAUUAAAUGAAAAAAUUAGGCAAGAAUUAGGAAGAAUCGAAGAGCAACGUAAGAAAAAGUUACAAGUGAAGCAACUUGAACUGGCUCUCCGAAUAUACAAAAUAUGAAAUUGAAGAAUGUAAGAAGUAAUUUGAAUCAGGUAAAUCAGUCUCUGGUAAAAAUUUUAUAUUUUUAACUUUAUUUCUACAAUAUUACUUUUAAUAUCCCUUCAAUUUAGUAUGUAUUAUUCAGAAUUAUGAUAAUACUGCUAUAAUAUUUAGAAACGAGCUUUUGUACGUUUCAUUCAUAAGUUUUCAUUUAUCUUGGGUAUGUACGUAGGAAUGGAAUUGCUGGGUCAUAAAGUACCUAUGCAUAACCUUUUCAGCAAUCACCUCACAGUUUUUCAAAGUGUGUGCUAUUUUACUUUCCCACCGGCAAUGUAUGAAAGAUCUAAUUUCUCUACGGCCUCACCAGGCUGGAGUCCAGUGGAGUGAUCUCAGCUCACUGCAAGCUCCGCCUCUCGGGUUCACGCCA